UAGCUACAGGCUUAACACAUGCAAGUCCUGGGGCAGCAUUUCAGUUUGCUUGCAAACUGGAGAUGGCGACCGGCGCACGGGUGAGUAACACGUAUCCAACCUGCCGAUAACUCGGGGAUAGCCUUUCGAAAGAAAGAUUAAUACCCGAUGGUAUAAUUAGACCGCAUGGUCUUGUUAUUAAAGAAUUUCGGUUAUCGAUGGGGAUGCGUUCCAUUAGGCAGUUGGUGAGGUAACGGCUCACCAAACCUUCGAUGGAUAGGGGUUCUGAGAGGAAGGUCCCCCACAUUGGAACUGAGACACGGUCCAAACUCCUACGGGAGGCAGCAGUGAGGAAUAUUGGUCAAUGGGCGCAGGCCUGAACCAGCCAAGUAGCGUGAAGGAUGACUGCCCUAUGGGUUGUAAACUUCUUUUAUAUGGGAAUAAAGUUUUCCACGUGUGGAAUUUUGUAUGUACCAUAUGAAUAAGGAUCGGCUAACUCCGUGCCAGCAGCCGCGGUAAUACGGAGGAUCCGAGCGUUAUCCGGAUUUAUUGGAUUUAAAGGGAGCGUAGGUGGACAGUUAAGUCAGUUGUGAAAGUUUGCGGCUCAACCGUAAAAUUGCAGUUGAUACUGGCUGUCUUGAGUACAGUAGAGGUGGGCGGAAUUCGUGGUGUAGCGGUGAAAUGCUUAGAUAUCACGAAGAACUCCGAUUGCGAAGGCAGCUCACUGGACUGCAACUGACACUGAUGCUCGAAAGUGUGGGUAUCAAACAGGAUUAGAUACCCUGGUAGUCCACACAGUAAACGAUGAAUACUCGCUGUUUGCGAUAUACAGUAAGCGGCCAAGCGAAAGCAUUAAGUAUUCCACCUGGGGAGUACGCCGGCAACGGUGAAACUCAAAA
RNAcentral lists this ribosomal RNA (878 nucleotides) under uncultured organism. RNAcentral describes it as "SSU rRNA". It matches the Rfam family "Bacterial small subunit ribosomal RNA", at positions 37 to 906 of the family's 1533-position model. The record is from RNAcentral.